GAUGAACGCUAGCUACAGGCUUAACACAUGCAAGUCGAGGGGAAACGACAUUGAAGCUUGCUUCGAUGGUCGUCGACCGGCGCACGGGUGAGUAACGCGUAUCCAACCUGCCUCUGACCAAGGGAUAACCCGUCGGAAGUCGGCCUAAUACCUUAUGCAGUCGUCGGAAGUCAUCUGAUGACGACGAAAGAUUUCAUCGGUGAGAGAUGGGGAUGCGUCUGAUUAGCUUGUUGGCGGGGUAACGGCCCACCAAGGCAACGAUCAGUAGGGGUUCUGAGAGGAAGGUCCCCCACAUUGGAACUGAGACACGGUCCAAACUCCUACGGGAGGCAGCAGUGAGGAAUAGUGGUCAAUGGGCGAGAGCCUGAACCAGCCAAGUAGCGUGCAGGAUGACGGCCCUAUGGGUUGUAAACUGCUUUUAUGCGGGGAUAAAGUGAGGGACGUGUCCUUCAUUGCAGGUACCGCAUGAAUAAGGACCGGCUAAUUCCGUG
Molecule: ribosomal RNA, 491 nt
Filed under: uncultured bacterium
Lineage: Bacteria
Description: partial 16S ribosomal RNA
Rfam family: Bacterial small subunit ribosomal RNA
Source: RNAcentral